RNAcentral lists this transfer RNA (73 nucleotides) under Ovis aries (sheep). It matches the Rfam family "tRNA". Rfam says of the family: Transfer RNA (tRNA) molecules are approximately 80 nucleotides in length. Lineage: Eukaryota; Metazoa; Chordata; Mammalia; Artiodactyla; Bovidae. The record is from Rfam by way of RNAcentral.
UCUCUGGUGGUUCAGUGGUUGGGACUCUGCACUUUCAGUGCAGGGGGCGCAGGUUUGAUCCCUGGUCAGGGAA